This 763-nucleotide ribosomal RNA is filed under the name uncultured Streptococcus sp. Its description in RNAcentral is "bacterial SSU rRNA". It matches the Rfam family "Bacterial small subunit ribosomal RNA", at positions 28 to 776 of the family's 1533-position model. Lineage: Bacteria; Bacillati; Bacillota; Bacilli; Lactobacillales; Streptococcaceae. The record is from RNAcentral.
GACGAACGCUGGCGGCGUGCCUAAUACAUGCAAGUAGAACGCUGAAGGAGGAGCUUGCUUCUCUGGAUGAGUUGCGAACGGGUGAGCAACGCGUAGGUAACCUGCCUGGUAGCGGGGGAUAACUAUUGGAAACGAUAGCUAAUACCGCAUAACAGUAGAUAUCGCAUGAUAGCUGCUUGAAAGGUGCAAUUGCACCACUACCAGAUGGACCUGCGUUGUAUUAGCUAGUUGGUGAGGUAACGGCUCACCAAGGCGACGAUACAUAGCCGACCUGAGAGGGUGAUCGGCCACACUGGGACUGAGACACGGCCCAGACUCCUACGGGAGGCAGCAGUAGGGAAUCUUCGGCAAUGGACGGAAGUCUGACCGAGCAACGCCGCGUGAGUGAAGAAGGUUUUCGGAUCGUAAAGCUCUGUUGUAAGAGAAGAACGAGUGUGAGAGUGGAAAGUUCACACUGUGACGGUAUCUUACCAGAAAGGGACGGCUAACUACGUGCCAGCAGCCGCGGUAAUACGUAGGUCCCGAGCGUUGUCCGGAUUUAUUGGGCGUAAAGCGAGCGCAGGCGGUUAGAUAAGUCUGAAGUUAAAGGCUGUGGCUUAACCAUAAUACGCUUUGGAAACUGUUUAACUUGAGUGCAAGAGGGGAGAGUGGAAUUCCAUGCGUAGCGGUGAAAUGCGUAGAUAUAUGGAGGAACACCGGUGGCGAAAGCGGCUCUCUGGCUUGUAACUGACGCUGAGGCUCGAAAGCGUGGGGAGCAAACAGG